Molecule: transfer RNA, 57 nt
Filed under: Dipodomys ordii (Ord's kangaroo rat)
Lineage: Eukaryota; Metazoa; Chordata; Mammalia; Rodentia; Heteromyidae
Rfam family: tRNA
About the family: Transfer RNA (tRNA) molecules are approximately 80 nucleotides in length.
Source: Rfam by way of RNAcentral
UGGCUCAGUGGUAGAGCACUUGCCUUGCAUGCAUGAGGCCUUGGGUUCGAUUCUUCA